GAUGAACGCUAGCGGCAGGCCUAACACAUGCAAGUCGAGGGGGAAGUUACUAUCGGGUGACUGAGACCGGCGUACGGGUGCGUAACGCGUAUACAAUCUGCCUUUCACUGGGGGAUAGCCCGAAGAAAUUUGGAUUAAUACCCCAUAGUAUAUAGGGACGGCAUCGUUUUUAUAUUAAAGCUUAGGUGGUGAAAGAUGAGUAUGCGUUCUAUUAGCUAGUUGGAGAGGUAACGGCUCCCCAAGGCGAUGAUAGAUAGGGGUUCUGAGAGGGAUGUCCCCCACACUGGUACUGAGAUACGGACCAGACUCCUACGGGAGGCAGCAGUGAGGAAUAUUGGACAAUGGUCGGAAGACUGAUCCAGCCAUGCCGCGUGCAGGAUGAAGGUCUUAUGGAUUGUAAACUGCUUUUGUAAGGGAAGAAUAAGGGCUACGCGUAGUUUGAUGACGGUACCUUACGAAUAAGCAUCGGCUAACUCCGUG
Molecule: ribosomal RNA, 480 nt
Filed under: uncultured bacterium
Lineage: Bacteria
Description: partial 16S ribosomal RNA
Rfam family: Bacterial small subunit ribosomal RNA
Source: RNAcentral